Molecule: long non-coding RNA, 2809 nt
Organism: Neopelma chrysocephalum (saffron-crested tyrant-manakin)
Lineage: Eukaryota; Metazoa; Chordata; Aves; Passeriformes; Pipridae
Exons: 3
Source: RefSeq, a predicted model, not a curated record
UCAGUGAAAAGUCCUGCUCCGUGAAAAAUGCUUCAAGGAAGCAUCUUUAGGUUGGCAAGUAUGAGAAUCACUUGUAAGGUACCCCAGUGCUUCUUCCUAGGUUGAUGAUUGCAAUUAUUGGGGAAAAUCAUCAUGGAAACCAAUCGUAGCUGUGCAUCCCUAGAUAGGUUUUAUGUUUCUAACAGAGUUUGUGCCUUUGUAGCCUUCCUGUCGAAUUGCUACUUGUGGAUUAUUAUGCCUGAAGUCUGUAACAAACAGAGCUUCUAAAAAAACCCCAAAUAAUUUCAUCAAAGUAAUCCUUUUGUUUCUCUUCUCAAGGGAACACUGGGAUUUUCAAAUAUGAAAAUGAGCUCAAAAAUCUGGCCUCCCACUACAGUGCUAUUUUAAGCCUCUUGUGGAUUAAGUUUGUUUGGAAUUUUUUUGCUAUCCUGGAGAACCAGAGUAUGCUUGUUAAACUUGAGGCACAGUGGAAGAGAAGGGACAGUGUACUCAGAACUCUCUAGUAGAACCAAAAAUCUUAAAAGACAAGAGUUGGGGCUGGUAACCCUGAAAUGUGUCCCUGGAGUCUGCAGCUGGAGGCCAGCAGGAGAGCGGGUGGAGACUGAGUGGCACUGCCAGGGCCACGCUGUGCAGCUGCCGAGUACCCGCGGGGAGGCGUUCGAAGUCUAUGGGGCUGCCAGCACCUCGGGGUUUGUUCAGCUGCAGGAGCAGUAGGAGGAGGAAACCAAACAAGACCCACGGUCAGCUGCUCAGCACCAUUUUACUGGACUGCAUUACAAAGCUAACAGGGAAAUUCCCAUCUACUGUGUAUUCUAUAGAUAGAUUUAUUUUGUUGCAGGCACAUCCACAUCACAAGUUGCCACAAGAUGUAAACUGGCUGCCUAUACUGCCUACACUGUCUCUAGGAAAAAUCCAAAAAGAGAGCUAUGUAUCUUCUCUAGAGCUGAAAUUAUCUGAAGAUCUUACCUCCAGUCUUGCUGUGGGUAUUCUAUGAGUAGCAGAAAAUAAAAUAAACGACAUGCAUUACCCCUUGCUAAUGUGAAAAAAAAAAAAUUUAAAAGAAUAAAAUAGUUAGUAAUAUGAAGUAAUGGACUUCUAGCAGUUACAAUGUUUAAACUGUGUACUUUUCUGAUUCUACUAUUGCAGUGCUUAAUUACUGCCAUCUUUAAAUAAUUUUCUGGAAUUAGGUGCUAUACCUUACUGCAGUCCUACUUUUAACUGGUGUUUAGGCAAUACAUACAGUACCUCUCCCCUCUAAAAAUUUCACGUAAACUUUAUUUGCUAUUUCAAGUUAAUGUAAAAUUUAUUUUUCAGUUACUGUUAUUAGAAAUGGGAGCUAUCAUUAUUUAAUAUUUUGUUUUAAAGGAUGGGAAAGCCUCCUGGAGUUGAGGAUGUGGGAACACUGUCCUGGCUUCCACUGAGCUGAAUUGUUCUGCUUAUCACCCCAAACACUUGGGGGACGUUUUCCAUUAGAUAGGCAAGAGUACUUAAUCUCUUCAACCUUCCUUGCCGCCCUAAUUUACAUUACUUAAAGCUUUUAAACUUCUGUGUUUUUAAGGUUAACAAAAAAAGCUUAGGGAGGUUGGACUAGAUGACUCACUAUGGUCUCUUACAGUCUGACCCAUUCUGUGAUUCUGUGAAAGCUUAGUAGUGUCCCAGCUUUGUUAGAAUGAAAAAAAAUUGUUCAUGCUACUUUAAGAGAAGUGACUAUUCAAAUAAUAAUCAGACAGAUGAAAGAGAAGAAAAUUAAAUCCUCAGUGCUGCAGUUCUAGGUUACAAUCCUUUCUGAGACUCCAGAUGUACAGACCAUGUUUUACUUUCUGCAUUUGGAAGGUAGCUCAGAAUAUCAACUCUUAGAAUGGUGCCCUGGGCUACAUUUUCUUGGCUUGAAUAUAUGUAUAGAUCCAAUUAGCCUGACACACACAAAAAUUUCCCCAGUAAAAGUCUUAGGACUAAUACUACACAGUAACACAGCACUGACUUUGUAAAAGACACUGUGAAAAAGUUCAGAAACUCUUAGAAGUAAAAAGAAAACACCAAAGAGAUCUCUUAAGUGUAUGUUCUUAUUGGUACUAUUUUUUCUGUUUCCAGAUCCCAGAGUACAAAUAUCAAUUUCCUAAUGUUGCUUACCUUGGCUAUCAAUGCUCUGAACUAUGAGAAAGCACGAUGAAUUUUCUGGGGCAUUUUUCACGUCCUUUCUUACUCUCCCAUUCUGUUACAUAUUAGAACUGGAGAUUAACCUUCAUAGUUGGUAGAGGAUGAAUCAGACUUUCAGAGGCAAAAUCAAUCCGAUCAACCUGACUUGACCCUAAAGAAGGUAUUUAGGCAGUGAGUAAGUCAGAACCAAUGUAUCUUUUCAUGUGCAUGCUUGUGUGAUUAUUUUUUUAAAGAAGUUCCUUUUAACAAUAACACCACCUUCUCUAAUCUAACUUGCCUGAGCCUUUCCACUUAUUUUUUCAGCAGUCAGUUAAUUCUACUGUAAAAAUAAUGGCUUGUCCAGAAACACAAUCGGAGGAGAAUCUCUUGGCUGGACUGUACUUUUUCUGAAUGUUUAUGGAGGAAUAACUCUCUUCUUGAGGGUGCCUGUGAAGCUCACCUAGAGAUAGUUCCCUGUGAUUUCACCAGGAGCAGCAGCAGAAUGUUUCCCUUGAAAAGUACAGUAAGGUGUUUAAAUGAGAUAAUUUAAAUGUGCUAAUUGGGUUAAAAUUUUAUAGAGGACUUCUCAGGGCCAAAGAGACAUAGUCCAGUUCUAAAAAUACCUGAAACAGCAAAAAAAAACCCAACAAAAAAACCCUCAAAAACUUGUAGA